Molecule: ribosomal RNA, 216 nt
Filed under: Salmonella enterica
Lineage: Bacteria; Pseudomonadati; Pseudomonadota; Gammaproteobacteria; Enterobacterales; Enterobacteriaceae
Also listed under: 1 other name
Description: partial 23S ribosomal RNA
Rfam family: Bacterial large subunit ribosomal RNA
Source: RNAcentral
UUCGGGUUGUCAUGCCAAUGGCACUGCCCGGUAGCUAAAUGCGGAAGAGAUAAGUGCUGAAAGCAUCUAAGCACGAAACUUGCCCCGAGAUGAGUUCUCCCUGAGACUUUAGGUCUCCUGAAGGAACGUUGAAGACGACGACGUUGAUAGGCCGGGUGUGUAAGCGCAGCGAUGCGUUGAGCUAACCGGUACUAAUGAACCGUGAGGCUUAACCUU